Molecule: ribosomal RNA, 229 nt
Filed under: Saxifraga derbekii
Lineage: Eukaryota; Viridiplantae; Streptophyta; Magnoliopsida; Saxifragales; Saxifragaceae
Description: 5.8S ribosomal RNA
Rfam family: 5.8S ribosomal RNA (bases 1-151)
About the family: 5.8S ribosomal RNA (5.8S rRNA) is a component of the large subunit of the eukaryotic ribosome. It is transcribed by RNA polymerase I as part of the 45S precursor that also contains 18S and 28S rRNA. Functionally, it is thought that 5.8S rRNA may be involved in ribosome translocation.
Source: RNAcentral
UCGGCAACGGAUAUCUCGGCUCUUACAUCGAUGAAGAACGUAGCAAAAUGCGAUACUUGGUGUGAAUUGCAGAAUCCCGUGAACCAUCGAGUCUUUGAACGCAAGUUGCGCCCGAAUCCUUCCGGUCGAGGGCACGUCUGCCUGGGUGUCACGUACACACGUCUCUCACAAACCUUUCCCUUCAUGGGYGAAGGGUCUUGCGUGAGCAGAAUUUGGUCUCCCGUGCUUU